Molecule: non-coding RNA, 3236 nt
Organism: Malus domestica (apple)
Lineage: Eukaryota; Viridiplantae; Streptophyta; Magnoliopsida; Rosales; Rosaceae
Source: RefSeq, a predicted model, not a curated record
CAGAGCUCUGCCGCCUAGAUCGAUUUUUAGAACACUGUUUAUCCACAAUCAUUCACUUUAGUAAUUCCACUAUUCAUCCUAUCUAACAAAGUGGGCUUCAAUUUUUUAUUCACACUUUUGCCUUCAGAUAUCUCUCUAUUCUCAACUCCAGACUGCUCUGCAUGCUCAGCACAAAAAUAUCAGUCCGGAAGCUGGAAGUCCAUAGGUUUUAUCUCCCCCGAUUUGCUCGAUGAUGUCUCCCCCGAUCUGAUAAUUUGAAUAUGCAGCAAUUGAUGCACCUGGAGGAUUCCUCUUUCAAUGGUGCUCUGUCUUUGCAUCUGAGUAUAUUUGUACCGUAAAAAAGUUAAGGUCUGGGUCUUCCGAUUCCGGCGAGCUGUUUCCGUAAGAACGUCGGCGCACCGUGUACCGCGCCGUCAACCACAGUCCUCCCUGUUUUAUUUCCGAAUGGGAGGUCGGAGCUUUAGGAGUGUGAAGAAGAGUAUACAGAGAUUGGAGGAAGCAGCUGUUUCCUGUAGGGGACUCGAAAGACUUGAGAUACUGAGAAGGUGGGUGCUGCUGCUUAACCCGAAAGACUCUAGAUACUGAGAAGGUGGGUGCUGCUGCUUAAAGAGGUGGAGAGGCUGAAGCUUUCUCAGGGUUAUGUGGAAGAGAAUGAAAGUGCGCCGAAACAACCUGUUUGCUGCCGAUGGCACGAAUGAGAUUCGAAAAAGAAUAUCUCUGUGAACCAAUGGAUUUCCGCGAAGUUUUUCUUCAAAAUCAGGCUUUGGAGGGCAUAACACUAUCUAUGGCAUUGCCACACAUGCACUUGGUUUGUGAGGUAUAUGGAGUUUUGCGUUGGUGGAUUCGAGAGCAUAGAGCUUUCAGUGCUUCUUUGCAACUACGAGGUCAUCUGAAAACUUAACAAGGAAUGGAGAAACAAGGGCCAUGCCACUGAUGUUCUUUCGCUGUCGCAGCAUGUCCCUAAUCUUAAGCUUCCCAUUAUACUAGCUCAUUACUUUUUUAGUUUUUUGGUUCCGUUUCUUUUUGCAUAAUUUUAAUCACUGAACAUUUGUAUUAUAUGCAGCUUAUGUUGGGUGACAUUGUGAUUUCUGUUGAGACAGCGACAAGGCAAGCAGAGGAAAGAGGCCACAAGCUUAUUGAUGAGAUACGUGUUCUCAUGAUACAUGAGUUGUUCAUUUACUAGGAUUUGAUCAUGAGAUUAGUGAAGAGGCCGAAGUGGAAAUGGAGAAGGAGGAGCUUCUUUUAAAGAGUCUUGGGUGGAAGGGGAAAUGAUUAAUUCAAAGUGCACAUGAUGCCGAAACUCACAAAUUCCCAUGAGGGAAAACCAGAUGGCAGGAAGAGAGAAAGCAGCCUGUGAUUUUAUAAACUAAAGUUCAGAUGCAUUUUCUGUGGUAUGGAUGGAAUUCUCACGUUGCUUUGAUAAAAUUAUACAUGGCCAUGAUAAGGAUCUACAGUUCCAAUGCUUUUGAUGCAUAAAGUAAGGAGGAAGCUACUCCUCUGGAGCUUCUUUGGCAUGAGAGAGAAAGUGGCAGCAGCCGCAGUGGGGAAGGAAGAAGGACUAUUACUGUUUCUGUGAUCAUUUCUGUCCUUCGAAGCUCUAGGGUUUGUUUUUGGAUCGGUUAGCUGUUGAGGUAAUUACUAAUCUAUACUUCGAUUGUAAUUUUUUUUUUUCAGUAUUCGGUGUGUUUGAUCAAUGGGUUACUUUGGACUUGCAUAAUUUGUGUAUAAUAUUGCUUCAAUCAUUUGUUGGGUUCCCUUUGCGUCCACCAUCUUUGCAAACGCUGCUUGAAGACAUACCUGAUGCAGUAGCUGUUCCUCAUACUUCUUCAUCUGGGAGAGAGAGGUGUGGGGUGUCCGAGAGAGAGGGUUUGACGGAUUAGGUUUGGGGUUAAGUUUUUGCAAUUUGCAGAGAGAUGGGGGGUGCCCAAGAGAUGAUUUAGGAGAUUUGGUUUGGGGUUUGUAGAGAGAGAGAGAGAGAUAGGGCGUGUCGAAGAGAAAUGUGGGAGGAUUUAGGCGAGGGAUUUCAGGGAUUUGAUUUAGGCGAGGGAUUUCAGGGAUUUGAUUUAGGCUUUCCUUUCUGCCACUUGCAGAGACAGAAAGAUGGGACAACGGUGAGAGAGAUAUGGGGACGGAGAGAGUCGAAGUGAACUCUUUUGCCCCAUUCGAUCCAAAUCAAAAAACGGGAUUAGGGGCGUUUUGGUCAUUCAGCAACCUGGGGGGUUCAAUGUCGUCGAGGUUUUUCUGGGAUUUCCGUCCCUUGCAGAGAGAGAGGUGGGAGAAGUAUGGGUGGCGUCGAGGGUUUUCUGGAUUUCUGUUCCUUGCACAUUGAGAGAGGUGGGAGAAGUAUGGGUUGCGUCCAGGGUUUUGUGGGAUUUUGUCUGUUGUAGAGAGAGGGAGGUGGGAGAAGUAUUGGUGCUGUUCCCAAGGUCCACCUCUUUCUUUCUCCUCUUUCCCCCUCCUCUCUUAAUUCUGAUUUAUAUUCUGAUUUGUGAAGGAGCCCGUGCUUUUCCUCAAACGGAUGUCGUCUUACUUGAUGAACGGCGGUACGUCCGAAGUCCACCCUUUGUUGUCGUUGGACCAUGAGGUGGAGCUGGCGGUGAUCAUCUAUUAGAAAGCUCGCGAUGUUCCGUAAUCCACCACCAUGUAUUAUGCCGCCAGUAUAUUUGUAAUUUUUGUUACUGUUUUUUUGUUAAUUAUUCAGUUUUUUUUUCAAGGUCAGUUAAUUAAUCAGUUAAUAGUGCUGCUGUUAAUGAUUUAGUUUAAUUAAUCAGUUAAUAAUGCUGCUGCUAAUGAUUUAAUUUUAAUAUAAUGAUGCUGUUAAUGAUUUGGUUUUGACUUUAAAUUUGAUUGGUGAAAAUUGGAUGGUUUAAGGCUAUGCACUUGCUUUGGAUAUGACUGCCAGAGAAAUUCAAGCUUCUGCUAAGAUUGCUAGGGGGCUGCACUCUGUGAGGGUCAUGUAUGUUUUAUUACGGUCAUAUCUAUAGUUUUGGGAACUGGAGAAAAUAAGUGGAACAAACCAUUUGCACGGCAGAGGCCGACUUGAUUUUUUCUCGAAUUUGUAGUGCACCAAAAUGGUUGAAUAUAUAUGUGAAGGGGAUGAGAGAAGGCAGAUAGGCAAAUGUUGUAUCAGAGAUGAUUCCUUUACAGAGUUUGGUGCUUACAUUUGUAGUUUUAAGAUCGGUUUGGAUGUUUCAUAACAUUGAAGGAUCCCCUAUUCCAAGAAUUGUUGUUGCAUU